AACGAACGCUGGCGGCAGGCUUAACACAUGCAAGUCGAGCGGGCGCCUUCGGGCGUCAGCGGCAGACGGGUGAGUAACGCGUGGGAACGUACCUUUCGGUUCGGGACAACCCGGGGAAACUCGGGCUAAUACCGGAUACGCCCUCCUUUGGAGACAUUGGUGGGGAAAGAUUUAUUGCCGAAAGAUCGGCCCGCGUCGGAUUAGCUAGUUGGUGAGGUAACGGCCCACCAAGGCGACGAUCCGUAGCUGGUCNGAGAGGAUGAUCAGCCACACUGGGACUGAGGCACGGCCCAGACUCCUACGGGAGGCAGCAGUGGGGAAUAUUGGACAAUGGGCGCAAGCCUGAUCCAGCCAUGCCGCGUGAGUGAAGAAGGCCUUAGGGUUGUAAAGCUCUUUCAGCGGGGAAGAUAAUGACGGCACCCGCAGAAGAAGCCCCGGCUAACUUCGUGCCAGCAGCCG
This 459-nucleotide ribosomal RNA is filed under the name uncultured bacterium. RNAcentral's name for it is "bacterial SSU rRNA". It matches the Rfam family "Bacterial small subunit ribosomal RNA", at positions 29 to 517 of the family's 1533-position model. The record is from RNAcentral.